This 548-nucleotide ribosomal RNA is filed under the name uncultured bacterium. Its description in RNAcentral is "bacterial SSU rRNA". It matches the Rfam family "Bacterial small subunit ribosomal RNA", at positions 355 to 895 of the family's 1533-position model. The record is from RNAcentral.
UAGGGAAUCUUCGGCAAUGGGGGCAACCCUGACCGAGCAACGCCGCGUGAGUGAAGAAGGUUUUCGGAUCGUAAAGCUCUGUUGUAAGUCAAGAACGAGUGUGAGAGUGGAAAGUUCACACUGUGACGGUAGCUUACCAGAAAGGGACGGCUAACUACGUGCCAGCAGCCGCGGUAAUACGUAGGUCCCGAGCGUUGUCCGGAUUUAUUGGGCGUAAAGCGAGCGCAGGCGGUUUGAUAAGUCUGAAGUUAAAGGCUGUGGCUUAACCAUAGUACGCUUUGGAAACUGUUUAACUUGAGUGCAAGAGGGGAGAGUGGAAUUCCAUGUGUAGCGGUGAAAUGCGUAGAUAUAUGGAGGAACACCGGUGGCGAAAGCGGCUCUCUGGCUUGUAACUGACGCUGAGGCUCGAAAGCGUGGGGAGCAAACAGGAUUAGAUACCCUGGUAGUCCACGCCGUAACGAUGAGUGCUAGGUGUUAGACCCUUUCCGGGGUUUAGUGCCGCAGCUAACGCAUUAAGCACUCCGCCUGGGGAGUACGACCGCAAGGUU